Molecule: ribosomal RNA, 443 nt
Filed under: uncultured bacterium
Lineage: Bacteria
Description: partial 16S ribosomal RNA
Rfam family: Bacterial small subunit ribosomal RNA
Source: RNAcentral
CCUACGGGUGGCAGCAGUGGGGAAUAUUGGGCAAUGGGCGCAAGCCUGACCCAGCAACGCCGCGUGAAGGAAGAAGGCCUUCGGGUUGUAAACUUCUUUUGUCAGGGACGAAGAAAGUGACGGUACCUGACGAAUAAGCCACGGCUAACUACGUGCCAGCAGGCGCGGUAAUACGUAGGUGGCAAGCGUUAUCCGGAUUUACUGGGUGUAAAGGGCGUGUAGGCGGGAGAGAAAGUCAGACGUGAAAUUCCAGGGCUUAACCGCAGAACUGCAUUUGAAACUGUUGAGCUUGAGUAAGGGAGAGGCAGACGGAAUUCCUAGUGGAGCGGUGAAAUGCGUAGAUAUUAGGAGGAACACCAGGGGCGAAGGCGGUCUGCUGGACAGCAACUGACGGUGAGGCGCGAAAGCGUGGGGAGCAAACAGGAUUAGAUACCCGAGUAGUC